RNAcentral lists this ribosomal RNA (433 nucleotides) under uncultured bacterium. RNAcentral's name for it is "partial 16S ribosomal RNA". It matches the Rfam family "Bacterial small subunit ribosomal RNA", at positions 29 to 507 of the family's 1533-position model. The record is from RNAcentral.
AACGAACGCUGGCGGCAGGCCUAACACAUGCAAGUCGAGCGAGGACUUCGGUCCUAGCGGCGGACGGGUGAGUAACGCGUGGGAACGUGCCCUUUGCUUCGGAAUAGCCCUGGGAAACUGGGAGUAAUACCGGAUGAGCCCUUUGGGGGAAAGAUUUAUCGGCGAAGGAUCGGCCCGCGUUGGAUUAGGUAGUUGGUGGGGUAAUGGCCUGCCAAGCCGACGAUCCAUAGCUGGUUUGAGAGGAUGAUCAGCCACACUGGGACUGAGACACGGCCCAGACUCCGACGGGAAGCAGCAGUGGGGAAUCUUAGACAAUGGGGGAAACCCUGAUCUAGCCAUGCCGCGUGAGCGAUGAAGGCCUUAGGGUUGUAAAGCUCUUUCAGCUGGGAAGAUAAUGACGGUACCAGCAGAAGAAGCCCCGGCUAACUCCGUG